ACGGCUUCAGUUACACGUGGACAACCUACCCUUGGGUUCGGCAUAAUCCUGGGAAACUGGGGAUAAUACCGGAUAGGCCACAGAUGCUGGAAUGCACUGUGGCUCAAAGCUCCGGCGCCCAAGGAUGGGUCUGCGGCCUAUCAGGGUUGUAGUGGGUGUAAUGUACCUACUAGCCUACGACGGGUACGGGUUGUGAGAGCAAGAGCCCGGAGAUGGAUUCUGAGACACGAAUCCAGGCCCUACGGGGUGCAGCAGGCGCGAAAACUUUACAAUGCGGGAAACCGUGAUAAGGGAAUCUCGAGUGCCAGCAUAUGAUGUUGGCUGUCCAGAUGCCUAAAAAGCAUCUGUUAGCAAGGGCCGGGCAAGACCGGUGCCAGCCGCCGCGGUAACACCGGCGGCCCGAGUGGUAACCGCUAUUAUUGGGUCUAAAGGGUCUGUAGCCGGCCAGGUAAGUCCCUUGGGAAAUCUGGCAGCUCAACUGUCAGGCUGCUAGGGGAUACUGUUUGGCUUGGGACCGGGAGAGGUGAGAGGUACCUUGGGGGUAGGGGUGAAAUCUUUUGAUCCUCGGGGGACCACCAGUGGCGAAGGCGUCUCACCAGAACGGGUCCGACGGUAAGGGACGAAAGCUAGGGGCACGAACCGGAUUAGAUACCCGGGUAGUCCUAGCCGUAAACGAUGCUCGCUAGGUGUCAGUCACGGUGCGACCGUGAUUGGUGCCGUAGGGAAGCCGUGAAGCGAGCCACCUGGGAAGUAUGGCUGCAAGGCUGAAACUUAAAGGAAUUGGCGGGGGAGCAC
Molecule: ribosomal RNA, 795 nt
Filed under: uncultured archaeon
Lineage: Archaea
Description: bacterial SSU rRNA
Rfam family: Archaeal small subunit ribosomal RNA
Source: RNAcentral